RNAcentral lists this ribosomal RNA (433 nucleotides) under uncultured bacterium. Its description in RNAcentral is "partial 16S ribosomal RNA". It matches the Rfam family "Bacterial small subunit ribosomal RNA", at positions 29 to 507 of the family's 1533-position model. The record is from RNAcentral.
AACGAACGCUGGCGGCAGGCCUAACACAUGCAAGUCGAGCGAGGACUUCGGUUCUAGCGGCGGUCGGGUGAGUAACGCGUGGGAAUGUGCCCUUCUCUACGGAAUAGCCCUGGGAAACGGGGAGUAAUACCGUAUACGCCCUUUUGGGGAAAGAUUUUUCGGAGAAGGAUCAGCCCGCGUUGGAUUAGGUAGUUGGUGGGGUAAUGGCCUACCAAGCCGACGAUGCAUAGCUGGUUUGAGAGGAUGAUCAGCCACACUGGGACUGAGACACGGCCCAGACUCCUACGGGAGGCAGCAGUGGGGAAUCUUAGACAAUGGGGGCAACCCUGAUCGAGCCAUGCCGCGUGAGUGAUGAAGGCCUUAGGGUUGUAAAGCUCUUUCAGCUGGGAAGAUAAUGACGGUACCAGCAGAAGAAGCCCCGGCUAACUCCGUG